UUUUUUUUUUAGAUCUGACCUGCCCACUGAUUUAUUAAAUGGCCGCGGUAUUUUGACCGUGCAAAGGUAGCAUAAUCAUUUGUCUUUUAAUUGGAGGCUGGAAUGAAUGGUUUGACGAGAGAAAUUCUUUAUUAUUGUAAAAUCUAUAAUUUAACUUUUGAGUUAAAAGGCUUAAAUUUUUUUAUGGGACGAGAAGACCCUAUAGAACUUUACUUUUUUUAUAUAUUAUUUUUUUUUGUUAAUUUAUAUUUUUUAUAUAUUUUAAGUUUGGUUGGGGCGACUUUGAGGAUUUUUUAACCCUUAAAAAUUUUAUUCACUAAUGAGUGUAUUGAUCCAUUAUUAAUGAUUAUUAGAUUAAGUUACCUUAGGGAUAACAGCGUAAUUUAUUUGGAGAGUUCUUAUCGAUAAAUAAGAUUGCGA
This 420-nucleotide ribosomal RNA is filed under the name Micronecta obtusa. RNAcentral's name for it is "partial large subunit ribosomal RNA". It matches the Rfam family "Archaeal large subunit ribosomal RNA", at positions 1932 to 2592 of the family's 2987-position model. The record is from RNAcentral. Lineage: Eukaryota; Metazoa; Arthropoda; Insecta; Hemiptera; Micronectidae.